This 24-nucleotide non-coding RNA is filed under the name Arabidopsis thaliana (thale cress). Lineage: Eukaryota; Viridiplantae; Streptophyta; Magnoliopsida; Brassicales; Brassicaceae. The record is from RNAcentral.
UCUGGAAACAGAGAAACAAUGUGU